Molecule: long non-coding RNA, 546 nt
Organism: Podarcis raffonei (Aeolian wall lizard)
Lineage: Eukaryota; Metazoa; Chordata; Lepidosauria; Squamata; Lacertidae
Exons: 3
Source: RefSeq, a predicted model, not a curated record
CAACUAUACUGUUCAACCGCUAGAUGGAGCCAGCCAUAUGGACCAAGCUUACUACAGUACCGUGUUUCAUACCAAAGCUCAGACUUGGCAACUUUACCUGAAAGCAGUGGUCUCGACUCAGCAAGGAGUCAAUCCAGUCGUGUCUAUACCUGCGCCGCACUGGACAUCACAUAAGGAAUCAGUUUCCCCUGGCACCCUGAAAUAACAAGAAGCUACAUCUAAGAUGGAACAGCAGCACCUAAAAAGUUAUCCAGGACUCUACCCAAUUCCAUCUCCUACAUCUGUAGCUGACAUCUGAGUUUCCAGGAGGCGCCAGCAUCGAAAUGACAUUAAAAAGUCAAACUUGCUACCUAUGAGUAAUGAGUUGGUGGUUUAACAUCUGCGAGCAGGAACACUGAAGGGGUGUGGUGGUAGAAGGGAAUCUAGCAAAAGAAAAAACCUGCAGCUGCUGUAACCCUCCUACAGUUUCUUGUGUAUGUCGUGUCUUUUAAGAUUGUAAGCCUGAGGGCAGAGACUGUAUUUUUCUUCUUGGUGAUCUGUAAGCCG